This 327-nucleotide long non-coding RNA is filed under the name Lepisosteus oculatus (spotted gar). RNAcentral describes it as "lncRNA (ENSLOCG00000023045.1)". The record is from RNAcentral. Lineage: Eukaryota; Metazoa; Chordata; Actinopteri; Semionotiformes; Lepisosteidae.
GAAAGGAAGCAGAUUUCCCCCAGUUUUCCAGGAGCACUCAAGCGCGGGACCUGGGAGGCUUUUAAAGAAAGGAGAAGAAAGGCCAGCUCAGUGAAGGUGUGGGGACAGACUACAGCAGUUGCCUGCUCCUCAGCUCAUAAAUUGAGGGACUGGCCCUGUGUGAGCCAUCAGCUACGUGAGAAAUUGAGAUGCCCCCCUUUCCUGCCAUCAUCUUCAGUCUACCUCCAGUACAUACAGUCUUAUGGCCCUGAGACUGCAUCUGAGCAACAGCAGAACCAGACUUGGAAACUGAGCUUUCUGUGUGAUGAUUGGAGUUAAAAAGGAGAA